CUGGCCGGGUGAGCGGUCACCUAACCUGAUGGGCUUGCCAGGCCAGCUGCGUCCCGAGAGCUGUACCCCUCCCUGGACUCGAGUGAGCCUGGCCUCGGGCUCCCGCUUUCCCCUGCCAAGCCCCCUCUGGAGCGGGAGCCCCUGCUGGGAGGUGAGAGGCCAGUCCACUCAGAACGUCAGUCUCAGCAGAGCCUCUGCCUGUGGCCUUCUAGAUAAACACAGCCGUGUUUGAAGAAUCCGCGGGGAGGUGUUCUGGCCUGGAGGGAGGGAAGGUUCUGGGCCUCCCUCUGAGUGAGCCGAGCCCUACCCAUUCCCAGGGCAAGUCCAGCCACGGUCCCUGUCUCUACCCACUGCCAUUUCCUGGCCCUUCGAGGGUCUUGCAAUGGGAGGUGGUGGCUCGGCCUGCCCUUGACCAUGAGCUGCAUUCGGGGAGGGUGCCCAGACCCCUGCGGAACGUGGGACUUCAUGGAAAAACUGAGCCCCGAGCACACAGAGAGGAAAUUCCAGGGUGCGUUCCUGGCAGACUUGUCUUGGAAGGCAGCUCUGGUUACUUUGGCCGCAGCCCAACGCUCUCGCUCUCCUCUCUGCACUGCCCUCCCACCCCGGCGUCAACCAGAGAGGAGCCCGAAGGCACAACGAGUCGAGCGGAGGGAGCAGUGGGACGGCCUUCACAGGCGCUCGCUGGUGCUGGCGGGAGGCCCCUGUGCCAGGCCGGGCGGCCAUAUCUGGGGCGCUCAGGCCUGCCUUCUCUCUCUCCUGAGGAGCAGAGUCCUGCUAAGCACCGCCGGGUGAGUUAGCACCGCCUACGAGCGCUCCUGGACCCAGGCUCCCGGCUGGUGCUCUGCCUCUGGUGGCCACCACACUGACCUCUACUGUGGCCGCUUCACUGCUCCUGGUCUCUGCACCCGCUUCUUCCAUGUCUUACAACACGGGUGGAUUCACUUACUGGCUUGAUCUUUUCCUCUGCUGUGCAGAGUUCCACGGUAUGAACAAGUCCACCUGUGCACACCCUGGGACCACCUGUGGGCAGCUCCCGUUCCUGGGCUGCAGUUAAGCCACUGUGAAGCUAGAAGCGUGGGCGGCACCCCUGUGACUGGGCUCCCACACUCGUGAGGGAAUUAAAUAUGCCCACGAGACGAUACAGUCCUUAACACCCCACUCCACAGAUGAGGCACUGAGCUCAGAAGCCUUGGUGCUGGUCCCAAGCCCCAGUCAGAGCAGCGUGGGGUCCAACCCUCCACGUGGCUCAACCCAAGCCCUCUGCAGAUGGCACAGCAUUCAGGAGGGGAGUGGGGACCUACUGGGCAGGGGUCCCCCUUGUCCUGUGUGGGGACACCUACCUUGUCCCUGUGGCCUUCAUGCUUGCUGCCCUCUCUGACCCUCCUGACUGGAGGGAGCCCACACAGCUGUAUUCACUCUCCCUGGAAAGGCAGGUCUCUUGGGCGUCCGUGAAGUCCCUGCGAGUCCUGCGGCAGCAGCUCAAGCCUGGUGUCCAACGCACAGCCCAGGCUGGCUGUGUGGGGGACGUGGGCGAGGGCUGCCACGCUUGGGAGCCUUCGCAGUGCGGACCCUGCGGCCCUCAGCCUGCUGGCCCAAGCUGGGCUGCCGCUCUCCCUGGCCACGCAGGUGCAGCUGUGGCCUUGGAUGUGUUGCGGGGGUGGUGAUGGAUAAGCCACAGGAACCCAGCUCAGGCCCAGGGGCCAGCUGGGCUUGGGCUCCCACGGUCCCAGCUCUGGAAGCUCUGUACCCCAGGCUGGGGUCCGAGGCUGCAGCUGAGGCCCUGGGGGCCAGAUCUGUUUCGGAAUUCAGUGUCUGUCGAGUUGAGAAUGUGAACCGCGGGCUUAGGCUGUAAGUCACUGACACUCCUCUGCGGGACCCUGCGCAGGAUGAGUUUGUGGUCAUUUAUUGCCUCUAAAGAAGACUAGAAAACGGCCCGGGGAAGGCCUGUGUGGACGCCGGUUUUGGCAGGACCAUGCCCGUCGGGAGGAAGUCUCGUCUGGGGUUGGGAUGUUUCUGCCCCUCCGAGCAGCAAGCUGCUUCCAGCCCAGAUUCCCAGGACAAACCCGGACCUGGAGCGCUUCCACCCCGAGGGCAGUGCAGGCAGGCGGGCGUGGGAGACGCCCCUCGGAGGACCUCGCUUCCCGUGCACCGAUGGGCUCUUGUGGGGGAGCUGGGCAGCCUCUCCCUGAAGGUCCUCCUGGGAGCACUGACCACACUCGUUCCUGAAGAAGAAAGUUGAGAAAAGAGGACAGAGAAGAAAGGAGGGUGCUGCCUCCUGUCACCUUAGGAGGGUCAGGGCUGCCCUCAGUGGUCAGCGGGUCUGAGCAGAGGUGCUGCAGGUGUCAGUGCACGCUGGACUUGGAAGGCCGUGUGAGAAAGAAGAGCACGGGACAUCCCACUAUUUAUGCGGACUGCAGAGUGAGAUGACAGUGUUUUGGGAAUCUCGGACUAAUAAUUUUAUUUCUGUUUACUUUUUUAACAUGUCCACAAUAAACUUGAAACUAC
Molecule: long non-coding RNA, 2505 nt
Organism: Sciurus carolinensis (gray squirrel)
Lineage: Eukaryota; Metazoa; Chordata; Mammalia; Rodentia; Sciuridae
Exons: 3
Source: RefSeq, a predicted model, not a curated record